AGAUAAAAAAAAUGAGGCGAAUAAUGUUUUAGAAAGAAAAAAAAUGUAAAAACAAUAAAAAAAAAAGAACACAAGACACGGACCAAAAAUAUCCCGUAAACUAAUUACAGUUGGUUUCUACCCUCUCUUUCUCUCUGACGAGAGGAACAAGACACGAUUAUGUGUCUUCGCCGGUGAAAUCGAGCUUCCCUUCCCUUCCGGUGUAACCUCUUCGUCUGUCCCUUUCUCUCAGUCGCUACGCCUCUCCGCCUCUCAGCCUCUGUAUCUAUGCCUCUCUCUUUCUCCAACAUCCCUAGAAGCAAGCCGUGAGAUAAAACUGAGAAACAUAAUAGCUCUUGAGCAGUGCCAUUACCCUAAACACAACCACGUCUGUAGCUACGCCUUAUUCCUAGAUUAUCUAAUUGACACUGAUAAAGACGUUGACUUGCUUCUCGAGAAAGGAAUACUAAAAAGUUGGAUUUGGCAACCCGCUAAAGUUGCGCAGAUGGUGAACAAGCUCGUGACAGUCAUCCUAGAUCCUGGUUCUUACUAUUAUGAUAUAGCGGGUGAAGUCAACAAGUCCUCAAGCGUGUGUAUUUCGGUAACCCGUGGACAGGGACAGCCACCAUCGGCGCUACGUUUCUAUUGGCGAUGACACUUAUCCAGACUUAGGCAUGGACUGUUCAGGUUAAGUAGAAUGAACGUUAGAGAUGCCGUUGCAUCUCUAUCUCUAGUUGGUUUGCAGUUUAACUGGAACUUCCUUAAUUUUCGGAAAACCAGUUUUUUUAACUGAAACUUCCUUAAUUUUCGUAAAACCAGUUUUUUAAUCCGUAGAAGACACCUUCUGCACCGUGUAGAAUCAUAAUAAAAAUCAUGAAUACAAUUUCUACUUCUUGUAGACGUUUGUGUUAAGUUUAGAUUUCGCAUACCCGAAAUUUUAGAAUACUUCAUAAAAGUAGAAACUGUAUUCAAGAUAAAAGUAGAAAUCUUUACAAUUAAUAGAAUUUGCAUUCCUCAUAUUUAGAAUUUUAAUCACAAGUAGAUUGUUUUUUCUAAAAAAAGUAGAUGAACUUGUUUGUUCUGGAAUUCGUUUUCUACUUACCCAUUUUCUGUAGAAGACGAAUUCUACUUUUAGUAGAACGUAAUUUUAAAAUUUUAUUUAUCAAUUUUUUCAACCAAAAAAAAUAUGUG
Brassica oleracea var. oleracea is the source of this 1170-nucleotide long non-coding RNA. RefSeq lists it as uncharacterized. The record is from RefSeq and is a predicted model, not a curated record. The transcript is spliced from 3 exons. NCBI's taxonomy places the organism in Eukaryota, Viridiplantae, Streptophyta, Magnoliopsida, Brassicales, Brassicaceae.